Molecule: long non-coding RNA, 2002 nt
Organism: Herpailurus yagouaroundi (jaguarundi)
Lineage: Eukaryota; Metazoa; Chordata; Mammalia; Carnivora; Felidae
Exons: 2
Source: RefSeq, a predicted model, not a curated record
GGUGGCCCAGCCUUCUUGGAGCUCAGCCUAAAAAAGGGAGGGAGAAGCAGGAAGGGUGUGGAAAAGCCAGGGUGGUCUGGAGCAAGGGAGAGCCAAGUAAAGGAGCCGAGCUGCCAGGUACCCCCAAACCCGGGAUUUCCCAGACCAGUGAGAGCUCCCUCCAAAUGGGAGGGAUUUGCAGAGCGAUCAACUUUGAAUUUUUGCCACAUUGGUAACGUUGCUGUCAUCUACACUCAUUUUGGGAAAGAAUUUAUGAACGGCAAAAAAUAAAAAUAGUAACAAUGUAUCUCGGAUAUUCUGAGAAGAAAGGAAACUCGGUUGGCAAUGUUAUAGCUAUACACACAAACACACAAGAGUUUACUAACCUUAUUUUUCUCAUUUUGCCACAGACCAGGUUUUCUAAACCAUGAAGUAGUGAAAUCAGAAGGCUUCUUAGAGGGCAGAAGUAUUUAAACUGAGCAGGAAUUAACUAGGAUUAGUAGGAUUUAGAGAUGGUAGGGGAAGAUUCUAGAUUAGAGAAUGAAAGUGUCUCGGUUACUUUGUUUCCUUAACAAAAUAGCUCCCUGUGCCUCAGAUGGUUUUGCUUUGAGAAAAGUCCUGGAAGGUUGGGCUGACUCCAACCUCAGGGACUUUGCACUUCCUGAAUCAUCUCUCCCCCAUAUCUUUGCAUAGCUGGCUCCUUCUUGUUUCAGGGCUCAGCUACAAUGUCCUCUGUUCAGAGACACCUUCCCUGAUCCCCAGCGUAGAGUGAUCUGCUUUCCCGGUCGUGAUGCAACCGCCCUGUUUUUGUUUUUUCUUCCUAGUUCUUAUUAGUGUAUGAAAUCAUCUCGAUUGUAUGUUUGUUUAGUCGUUAAACUCAGCCUUCCCCCCACCCCCAACCCCAAGACCUGCAUCCCAGGAGAGACGUCAUCUUGUCCGCAGCGUUCACAGACCCAUCGUGAGACCUGCCGGUUUGUGGGCAAAUGACCGAAUGGCCAUCUGUACCGUAGUCCAAGAGGACAUGCGGAGAGAAAACAACCCUGCUCGCUCAGGUGAGCAAUUGGGAACAGCGUCUCCAACAGGAACCCUGCACUCUCUACUAUGCCACCCUGCCUGAGACCUUUCUUAAGCCUUCUGAGAAAUGAUCAGCUGAGUUCAAACCAGAAUAACAGUAGUUCCUUGGCUCUUGAGGGCUGUGAUCCGCAGGGAAGGAAAAGAGGCCGGAGGACUCUGGUGUUAAGGCACAAUCGGUAUGGGUGUGCAGGAGCCCACUUCAGGAUUUUCUCAGCAUAAGUCGGCAGCCAUUCAUUUCGCGUCUCCAGCCCCAGGACCCGGGGCUGCCGCUCUUUGGCCCCUCCAUGAGGGGGUGGCGGUGAGAGCGGGAACAGGACCAUUCCUAGUGCCCUCCGACCUGGAUGUCCUGGAUGCCAGCAAGGAUUCAGGCCCAUGCCAGCUGGGGCAGUGGUUUUGUGACCACACCCCUGAGUCCGGAAUGCUUUGUGAUGCCUCUCAGCUCCUGCGUGCCCACUGGCAGAAAGCAGGAGCUGGGCCUCCUUGGCUCUCUGACCUGGGGUAUGUAUGUAAUCUCCCUUUCUGGGGCUCAGUUUCCCCUUCUGCACAACAGCGGAUUUAGGCAGGAAGAUUUCAAAAGUAUCCGCCCAUUUUGGUUUUUAUCCUCUGAGUGUUGGAAACAAAAUUUCAAUGAAGCUGACUUUGCCUACAGCCCCUCCAGACACCUCUCCUCUCAGCGGCCCUGCAUCCCCUUCAGGAGUGGUAAAUGCUACUCCAGCAUCUGAAGAGUUGAGGUCAAGCCUCUGACACAGCCUCGCACUAUGACCUUGAGGAGCCCGCCGACCUCCAUAGGGCUUCCAUUUCCCAGUAUCCGAAACGAUGCAGAGACAAUGGCCUUGUCCUGCUCAUCUGUCAGUUAUAUUAAGGGCUGAACAAAGUCAGACGUAUGAUGUCCUCUGUAGACUCUAUACGCAUGUAAAUGUCAAGUCUCAUUACCCUUUUUUCAAACUCA